This 200-nucleotide ribosomal RNA is filed under the name uncultured bacterium. RNAcentral's name for it is "partial 16S ribosomal RNA". It matches the Rfam family "Bacterial small subunit ribosomal RNA", at positions 30 to 233 of the family's 1533-position model. The record is from RNAcentral.
AUUGAACGCUGGCGGCAGGCCUAACACAUGCAAGUCGAGCGCGAAAGUUCUUCGGAAUGAGUAAAGCGGCGGACGGGUGAGUAAUACAUGGGAAUCUGCCUGGUAGUGGGGGGCAACGUUUCGAAAGGAACGCUAAUACCGCAUACGCCCUACGGGGGAAAGGGGGGGAUCUUCGGACCUCUCGCUAUCAGAUGAGCCCA